Molecule: ribosomal RNA, 704 nt
Filed under: uncultured bacterium
Lineage: Bacteria
Description: bacterial SSU rRNA
Rfam family: Bacterial small subunit ribosomal RNA
Source: RNAcentral
CAUGCAAGUCGCACGAGAAAGGGCUUCGGCCCCGGUACAGUGGCGCACGGGUGAGUAACACGUAGGUAAUCUGCCUCCGAGUGGUGGAUAACCUCCCGAAAGGGGGGCUAAUACAGCAUGAGACCACGGCUUCGAAAGAAGCAGAGGUCAAAGCGGGCCACUUCAUGAAAGCUCGCGCUCGGAGAGAAGCCUGCGGCCCAUCAGCUAGUUGGUAGGGUAAUGGCCUACCAAGGCGAAGACGGGUAGCUGGUCUGAGAGGAUGAUCAGCCACACUGGAACUGAGACACGGUCCAGACUCCUACGGGAGGCAGCAGUGGGGAAUCUUGCGCAAUGGGCGAAAGCCUGACGCAGCGACGCCGCGUGGGUGAUGAAGGCCUUCGGGUUGUAAAGCCCUGUGGGGAGGGAAGAAUGAGUUCGAGCUAACAUCUCGAGCGAUGACGGUACCUCCUUAGCAAGCACCGGCUAACUCUGUGCCAGCAGCCGCGGUAAGACAGAGGGUGCGAACGUUGUUCGGAAUUACUGGGCGUAAAGCGCAUGUAGGCGGCCGCGCAGGUCGGGUGUGAAAGCCCUGGGCUCAACCCAGGAAGUGCACUCGAAACCGCGCGGCUCGAGUCCCGGAGAGGAAAGUGGAAUUCUUGGUGUAGAGGUGAAAUUCGUAGAUAUCANGAGGAACACCGGCGGCGAAAGCGGCCUUCUGGACGAGG